This is a long non-coding RNA of Drosophila ananassae, 339 nucleotides long. RefSeq lists it as uncharacterized. The record is from RefSeq and is a predicted model, not a curated record. The transcript is spliced from 2 exons. NCBI's taxonomy places the organism in Eukaryota, Metazoa, Arthropoda, Insecta, Diptera, Drosophilidae.
AAGACCACUUUCAAAACUUUGCUGGAUCCGGUGGACCCCCUGCAGCUAAAUAACUAUCAAUUUUCGUAAUCAACGACGAAUCAACAGUUUUGGAAAAAAAGCUCCUCAUUAGUGCUGAGCUCGAGUAGCUCCUCUUGUAAUAUCACAUUCUCCACUUCUGUUUCAUCAAAUGGAUUUAUGAUCUAUGGUGGUAUUUCCAUCGACAGAAUGUCUUCAAAUCUAGUUUUAAAAUCACCAUGCAGGGCAAUCAAAUGUUGAAUGUAUGUCUGAAUAUCUUCAUCAAGGCGACCAAUAUUUCCCUUCAUAAACUUCAAUUUACCAAUAAAAGCUGAAAUUACA